Molecule: non-coding RNA, 29 nt
Filed under: Bombyx mori (domestic silkworm)
Lineage: Eukaryota; Metazoa; Arthropoda; Insecta; Lepidoptera; Bombycidae
Source: RNAcentral
UAUUCCUGUGGCUAACAAUAGUAUGAAAA